GCGGCAGAGCCUCGCGGGGGGCGGCUAGGGCUGGUUGGCCCGGUGUUCGGUCGGCGCACCGAGGCUCCGCGCCCGGGUCCCAGGCCGUGCUGGGGACGCUGGCUGGGCGGAGCAGCGGGGAGCAGCAGCACCUAACAGCACACAGUGGUGUUUGGCUCUACCCUUCCUGUGGGAUGGAUUAUUCUGAAGCAUUUUCGGUGUAGACCUGCUGCUGGAUUCUAGAAUCUUAAUCAUAGCUAAUUAAGAUCUGCAAAACUAGAUUUUUUGGGCAAAGCAACUUAUACAUAGAUGGAGUAUUGAGAAUUCCAGCCUCCAUAAAUUUCCCUUCAAGAUUAUGAGAUAGCUACUUAUACAGAGCGAACGAAUCAUGGCUCUUCAUGGACCCAGACCACCAAGAACAAAACUGCCUUCUCUAGGCUUCUCUGUAUUAGGUGGAAUCAUGCAAGAAGAAAUUUACAGUUUGGAGCAGUUUGGAAGUAACUUUGUUCUUUUUAACCCCCUUUCUCCAUUCCAUUUCAUGGAACAUGAAUCUGACGGCUUGAACACUGGCAUCAAUCUUGCUCAACUGAGGAAUGGUGGAGAAGCCUCUUUGCAGGGGUUGAGAAUCUACCUUAAGAGCCCUGGGCUGCCUACUCCUGAAUUCUUUUAUAGGGAAGGAUGUAAACUUAUGUCUUAGCUAAAACACCAUUAUUUUGGUUUUCUGUCAUAGUCACUUAUGCAAAUGCCUACUUGUUAUAUACAUCUACUCUCCUGAAGUCAGAAAUUAUGUCAUAUUUUUACAAUUCUGACAAAUCAAAACUUAGUAUAGAUCACUCCAUCUGGCUUAAUUUUAUGCCAUUAACUUUUUGGAUGAAUACAAGGAGGAUUUACUAUUUUAAAAUAAGUGACAUAUACAUAAUAGAAAAAAUAUUAAAUAUUUAGGAUUAAUUUUAACACAUUAGCAAAUGAAUUGGCAUGUAGUGUCAUCUGUGGUGAUAGAAUAAUUAAUGAAGAUGACAUGGUUCCUGUAAUGUACAGUAAUGUCCAAGAUGUCCUCAGGAAGUCCCUGUAAGGGACACGGAUUUAGCUCAGUGGUUCCGCUGCCUGCCUUGAAAGUGCAAGGUCCUGAGUUUGAUCCCCAGUGUGAAAAAGAGAGAAGUCCCUGUAAACUAGAGCUACAUCUGGCACAAAGAGUACAUUCUCAAGUUAGUACUGCUGGCAAAACCACAUAUAGUCAAGCAUUAUCCUUUUAUUCCUUUUAAAAUUCUCAGAAAUUUAGAAUAUAUGCAGGUUUGGAAUACAGCUCUAUUCAGGCUUUCAAGGCAGGAAAAAUACUUAUUUGUAUUUAUGAAAAAAUUUGAAAUUGUCAAUGGACUCCUGAGAAGAAAAUUCUGAAUUUCCAGGCUUUUCUUCAGGCCUUAGUGCUAAUUUAUGUAAAAAGCCUCUACAUCAUAAUAUACACUAAUAGGUCUGUUUGUUUUGAUGUUGAAUAAGCAAGACACAAGAGUUUCAUAACUUAUAACUGGGUUUUAGUGUUAGCUUAUAAUGUGCUAUGUGUUUAGAAGUAUCAGGUUUUUAGUAUGACUUUAUUAUUUUUUUGUAUUGGUUAAUUUUCAUGCAAAAUGUCAAUGUUCUUAGGGUAUUUUUAUUGGAAACUUUUUCAUUAUUAUUCAUAAUUAUGUAGGAAUGAGUUCCAAAAUUUUACUUUUUAUAAUUCCAAGUCCAUUUGCAGGUGUUGGUAUGCGUGAUUCACAAAAUAUAAUACUGAUAAAUUAAAAUAUUAGCCGUUUUAAAAAAUAUGUAAUAUGCUUACACUGAUUUUAUGUCCUGCUGGUAUUUUUAACUUCCUGAAAGAACUCAAUUGGCAGGUCAGAAAUUUGUCUGUAUUCUGUGGAUAAAACCUUAAGGGUAAAAAUAAAGCUUUAAUUUUGGGUGGAUGUGAAAAAUAGGUAUGAUUUUUUUGUUCCUUUAAAGACUUGACAGUCAGGAGCACUGAAGAGUCUUUUAUUCUAAAUUAAUUUUUAUUUGCAUUGAAAUAUUGUAAUAAAAAUUUAAGCCAUAUAGUGCUAACACAUAAAAAGCAUGAUCCUCUUGAUCAAUUCAGAUCCUUAAGCAACACUCUGCUGACAGAGAAUAUCAGUUCUUUAGGUGUUCCUUCUAGUAUUUACUUCUGCAUAGGUAAACAGCACAAGCCAUUGCCAUUUGCUCACUCAUUAAUUUUAGAAAUUAUUAUUAUUAUUAUUGGAUUUCCUAUUUUGAGACAUUAGGAGUUGGGCUUAUUUAUCCCUCUCUUUCUCUACUAUCAUUCUUUAAAUAAAAUUUUGGUAAAGCCCACCCUUUUUUCUUAAUGAAAUAUUGUUUCCUUUCAACAGAAUAAUAUUCUAAAAUUAGAUUUUAUUAUUUAAACUACUAUCUGUAUUUUUCUGGAGAUAAUUGGCUUAUUUUUAUACUUAUUUAAUUCUCUGCAAAUAUCUAGGCUUUAUGUAGCCAUUAGGAAAUCUGGAAUUGUUUUCUGUGGAGCUCAGACUCUCAGAUAAUUUCUCAGCUGUAUUUUUGUUGGAGAAAUAGCUCCUUGACCCUUUUGACCUCUUUCUGUCUUGGAAUUCUCUGUCACCAGGCUUGAAGAAAUGUUGGUCUUAUGUUUGCUAUUGAGAGAAUUCCCUUUCACUCUGGCCUGUAUUGGAUCCCUGGUCCCUUGAUUCCUAUGUCUUCUUUUGUGGUACAUUCUUGUAUUUUGGUGAAGCAUAAAAAUCUAAUAUUUUCCUGAGAAAUUGUGCGUGGGACAUAAUUUUUUUUGAAAAUUUGCAUUAAAAAUACCUUUAUUGGGCCGGUUAUUUAGCUCAGUGGUUUCGCCGCCUGCUGCACAAGCUCAAGGACCCGAGUUCGAUCCCCGGUACCAAAAAAAAACAAAAAAACCUUUAUUCACCUUAUAUUUGAUUAGUAGUCCUGCAUUUUAUAAUUCUUGAUUAAUUUUAAAUAACUUUUAACACUUUAUAGGGAAAUCUUUUUUUAAAUUUCCAUCUACCUUCCAACAUUUGAGAUGAGAAAUCCAAUACUAUUCUUCUUCCUAAACUUUGUUAGCUGCCUUAUCUUUCUUUUCUAAAAAUUUUGGCAAUUUUCUUUAUUUAGGGGGAUUGAUAUGUCAAUAAUAUUUAUCUUUGUAGCCUAAACUGAGAAUAUAUAAGUCAAUUUGUAUUUGUUUCUAUUAAAAUUACUCUUCCAAAAAGUUAGGCAAAAGAAGGGCAAUAGGAGAGCUAAGUCUAUUACAUGCAAUAAAUUCCUGUUCCAAACUCCAUAGAUCUAUUUAGUAGUUAGGAAUAUCUAUUCUUCAUUUUAUUUGAAAAAGCCUCUCAUCUGCCUUUAUCAUGGAACGAGCCUGGGAAAAGUGAGUUCUGACUUUGAGUAAAUACCGAAUAGUUUCUCUGGUGUGAGGAACUAAAAAUGUAAAUAAGGAUCAAAAUGUAUAAUUGAUAAUGUGAAAUAGAAAGAAAAGGUGUAAAGGGGUAGGGGAAAUGGGAGAGGUAGGGGAAAGAAGAAGGGA
This is a non-coding RNA of Heterocephalus glaber (naked mole-rat), 3520 nucleotides long. The record is from RefSeq and is a predicted model, not a curated record. Lineage: Eukaryota; Metazoa; Chordata; Mammalia; Rodentia; Bathyergidae.